This 504-nucleotide long non-coding RNA is filed under the name Capra hircus (goat). Its description in RNAcentral is "lncRNA (ENSCHIG00010002292.1)". Lineage: Eukaryota; Metazoa; Chordata; Mammalia; Artiodactyla; Bovidae. The record is from RNAcentral.
ACCAGAUGACAGCCAGCAAAAAAUGGUCAUCUCAGUCCUACAAGCACAAGUGAUUGGAUUUUGCCAAUAACUAAAUUUAUGAGGCCCUCUUCAUAAAACAUGAACUUUGAAAUGGUUUCUCCAACUCUCCUACUGAAGUCAUUAAAUCUUCAUGUAAGGCAUACUUUUCCUAUACCCAGAGGAAAGGCAAAUCCUUAUCAUCAAAGAAAGAGAUGCCAAGAGAUGUCAGGAUUCUUCCUGACUUACAGGGCUUCCUAAGUCCCACUCCCACCCCUUUCCUGCUACUGUUUACUGUAAUGACCUUAUACUCCUAACCUGUCAUAUUCCUUCAUGACUGUCCAUUCUUCAUCAAACCGAGAAUAAAAUACUCAGAUUUAACUGCUUCUUUGGAUCAUCAUUUCCUUAUGAAGGCCCCUGUGUCACACAAAAUUUGUGUUUUCUCCUCUUAAUUUGACUUUUCUCCUAUUAUUAGCUUAUUCUUCAGACUCAGCCAUGGACAUUAAG